This is a non-coding RNA of Mycena filopes, 95 nucleotides long. NCBI's taxonomy places the organism in Eukaryota, Fungi, Basidiomycota, Agaricomycetes, Agaricales, Mycenaceae. The record is from the annotation of a GenBank genome assembly.
GACCUGGUGGUGAAUGGUUCACACUCAUCUUCCUUUUGGGUUGAACUGAAAUGCAUGGGAAAUGGGAAUCUCCGGUUCGAUUCCGGGUCAGGUCC